This 31-nucleotide transfer RNA is filed under the name Grylloblatta sp. SDS14_187C. RNAcentral describes it as "partial tRNA-Leu". The record is from RNAcentral. Lineage: Eukaryota; Metazoa; Arthropoda; Insecta; Grylloblattodea; Grylloblattidae.
UUCAUGUAUAAAGAAAGGCCUUUUAUUAGAA